RNAcentral lists this transfer RNA (77 nucleotides) under Candidatus Frackibacter sp. WG11. Its description in RNAcentral is "tRNA_Arg_TCG". It matches the Rfam family "tRNA". Rfam says of the family: Transfer RNA (tRNA) molecules are approximately 80 nucleotides in length. Their secondary structure includes four short double-helical elements and three loops (D, anti-codon, and T loops). Lineage: Bacteria; Bacillati; Bacillota; Clostridia; Halanaerobiales; Halobacteroidaceae. The record is from RNAcentral. RNAcentral also lists the same sequence under 2 other names.
GCGCCCGUAGCUCAACUGGAUAGAGCGGCAGACUUCGAAUCUGUAGGUUAAAGGUUCAAAUCCUUUCGGGCGUGCCA